RNAcentral lists this long non-coding RNA (1369 nucleotides) under Canis lupus familiaris (dog). RNAcentral's name for it is "lncRNA (ENSCAFG00000055250.1)". The record is from RNAcentral. Lineage: Eukaryota; Metazoa; Chordata; Mammalia; Carnivora; Canidae.
GAGAGACAGAGACCUGGGCAGAGGAAGAAGCCUGAUACAGGAGUCUAUACCAGGACCCCAGGACCCCAGCGCCCCAGGGCCCCAGGUUCACAAUCUGAGCCGAAGGCAGGCACUCAACUGCUGAGUCACUCACAUGCCCAGCAUGGACCAUUUAGAAAGGGUACUGAGCAGGCAUCUCUUUUAAGGAAGUGGACACUCGAGCUGAGAUCCAAAAAAUAUGAAGAAGCAAGUCUUGUAAACAUGUGGGAAAGGCAUAUUCCAGACAAAGGGAAUAGGUCUCUGUGUGUCUGCAGCAGAAUGAUGGCCAGUGGAACUGCAGCACAGAAAGGAGUGGCCAAGGGAAAGAAGAUGAUCUUGGACAGAAGAGCAAUUCCUGUAGAGCACCCUGACUGAACAGAGAGAGAGAGUUUAAAGGAUCGGGUAUGGGGUGGUGUGGCUUUAAGUGGGAAAGAACUCCAUUCUAAGAGCCCUCCCACUGCAGAGCAGGUCCCGGCCCAUGCUGGGGCAGUGCCUGUCUGGGUGGCAGCUAAUCAGAGACAAAACCAGAGGUGACUAGAUUAGAGGAAGCUGUCUGAAUAUUAUCUGUGCCAUUUCUUACUGUGGAAUUUGAUUUGAAAACUGCCAGUAACAAUCUUUUCUUGGAAGUAGGCAGGGAUAGAUAGUAUAAAUAAAUAUAAUCUAAAGGCAAAAACAGGACUGAAAAUCAAAUCUCCCAGCAAAAAGCAGCUAAAGCAGGGCUUCAAAUCAAAUCUUCAGGUCUAGAGGAAAUCUGUAGCAAUUACAGAGCACCAUGCACAGCAGAGGAGCAGUAUAGACAGAAGUACUGGCAUGGACCUGUUAGAGGUCUCAGUCUGGUUUAUGUUAGUAGCAGAAUUUUAAAAAAGGGGAUGGGCUUUAGAAAACCAGAAUCCAAACAGUCAUUUACAGGUUAUUUUUAAAAGGCACCCAAAUUAGCAUGUCUAAACUACUUGAGUCUUCCGAGCAUCUCUUUAUCCCACUCCCACAUCCUUCUGGUAAUAGUCUUUGAUUUUCUUUCCAUGGGAUGGUUACAUAAUGGUACCCCCAACCCAGUGACCAAGUAAUAAAACUAAAGAGCAGGCACCUGACCUUAGUGAGCAAAUCUCAAUCUCUCUCCAAGAAUUUGAAAACAGUACAGAACACAACAUGUGCAAAGGCCCAGAGGUGGAAAAAUGUUGGGAGCUGAGUUGUUUUUGGAUGGCAUUCUAGAGAGAAGGUCCAGAGACACCUGCUAAUGAGUUUUCACCUAAUUCAUUUUCUUAAUAUAUACUUGGUUAGUUGGCCAUAUUGAUUUCUGUUGCUGAGAGUGGAAAAAUCUUUAGUGAAUGUCAUUAUCAAUGUUUAUAAAUGU